Molecule: ribosomal RNA, 492 nt
Filed under: uncultured bacterium
Lineage: Bacteria
Description: partial 16S ribosomal RNA
Rfam family: Bacterial small subunit ribosomal RNA
Source: RNAcentral
AGUGAACGCUGGCGGUAGGCCUAACACAUGCAAGUCGAACGGCAGCACAGUAAGAGCUUGCUCUUACGGGUGGCGAGUGGCGGACGGGUGAGGAAUACAUCGGAAUCUACUUUUUCGUGGGGGAUAACGUAGGGAAACCUACGCUAAUACCGCAUACGACCUACGGGUGAAAGCAGGGGAUCUUCGGACCUUGCGCGAUUGAAUUAGCCGAUGUCGGAUUAGCUAGUUGGCGGGGUAAAGGCCCACCAAGGCGACGAUCCGUAGCUGGUCUGAGAGGAUGGUCGGCCACACUGGAACUGAGACACGGUCCAGACUCCUACGGGAGGCAGCAGUGGGGAAUAUUGGACAAUGGGCGCAAGCCUGAUCCAGCCAUACCGCGUGGGUGAAGAAGGCCUUCGGGUUGUAAAGCCCUUUUGUUGGGAAAGAAAAGCAGCAGGUUAAUACCCCGCUGUUCUGACGGUACCCAAAGAAUAAGCACCGGCUAACUUCGUG